ACAUGGCUGGGCCCCUGGCACCACAGGAGAGAGCCACUAAGAACAAGAGGAACUUCAUAGGAGCAUGGGGGCAAGAAGAAGUGAAACUCCCUAACUAGAGGACCAGACUUGGCGAUAGGCCAGAUAUCAAGGUGUCAAGACCAGGUUCAGGAAACAGCACAGGACAAAGGGCCUGAAGGAAUUUCUGGAAGGAGUGAAGAAAUCAGAAGUCCUUUACUGUCAUUCUAGGUUGUUGCAUUUUGGGAGACUCUGGCUUCUCUUCCAGUAUAUUGACACUACAUACGUGUUGGCAUUCCAGCUCCACCAAGGAGCAAUUGAAAUACAGUGGUGGCUGAUACCAAAAGAUUUAGAGGAAAGCCCUGAGCAGCAUGAAAAGAAAAAAAAAAAAAACCUUUGAAAAUUUUCUAGAUUGACAAAAUCAGGUCAUUUGGGAAACUACAGCUGGUUUUCAUUGGCAGUGAAUUGUAUUUUGACCAAUGACUGAUAAGGAACCAAGAAAGGGACAAUCAUAAUGACAACAAAAAUACUUCACAAAAAAAAAAAUACACACACACACACACACACACACACACACACCUGGGAAAGAAAUAGACAACCAACCUGUAAGGAGGAAAGAAUACAAAAUGUGUCUGUGAAACUAGACUGGAAAUAAAAUCUUAAAAAUACCCAGACAAAUCUUAUACCUUUCUCCAUCUGAGAGCAGUCUUACUUCUGGACAUUUCUCUACUUCUGCUUCUCUUUCAUAAAGUGAAAAAAAUAGAUAUCUCUCAUUUUACAGAAUAUGUAUUAAGACA
This is a long non-coding RNA of Erinaceus europaeus (western European hedgehog), 794 nucleotides long. RefSeq lists it as uncharacterized. The record is from RefSeq and is a predicted model, not a curated record. The transcript is spliced from 3 exons. Lineage: Eukaryota; Metazoa; Chordata; Mammalia; Eulipotyphla; Erinaceidae.